ACCAAGGCGACGAUCAGUAGCCGACCUGAGAGGGUGAUCGGCCACAUUGGAACUGAGACACGGUCCAAACUCCUACGGGAGGCAGCAGUGGGGAAUAUUGCACAAUGGGCGAAAGCCUGAUGCAGCAACGCCGCGUGAGUGAUGAAGGCCUUCGGGUCGUAAAACUCUGUCCUCAAGGAAGAUAAUGACGGUACUUGAGGAGGAAGCCCCGGCUAACUACGUGCCAGCAGCCGCGGUAAUACGUAGGGGGCUAGCGUUAUCCGGAUUUACUGGGCGUAAAGGGUGCGUAGGCGGUCUUUCAAGUCAGGAGUGAAAGGCUACGGCUCAACCGUAGUAAGCUCUUGAAACUGGGAGACUUGAGUGCAGGAGAGGAGAGUGGAAUUCCUAGUGUAGCGGUGAAAUGCGUAGAUAUUAGGAGGAACACCAGUUGCGAAGGCGGCUCUCUGGACUGUAACUGACGCUGAGGCACGAAAGCGUGGGGAGCAAACAGGAUUAGAUACCCUGGUAGUCCACGCUGUAAACGAUGAGUAC
RNAcentral lists this ribosomal RNA (531 nucleotides) under Clostridioides difficile. RNAcentral describes it as "bacterial SSU rRNA". It matches the Rfam family "Bacterial small subunit ribosomal RNA", at positions 267 to 816 of the family's 1533-position model. The record is from RNAcentral. Lineage: Bacteria; Bacillati; Bacillota; Clostridia; Peptostreptococcales; Peptostreptococcaceae.